GGAGAGUUAGCUUAACUGGUAAAGCAUUUUCCAAAGGUUCAAGUCCUUUACUCUCCA
Molecule: transfer RNA, 57 nt
Filed under: Clostridium perfringens
Lineage: Bacteria; Bacillati; Bacillota; Clostridia; Eubacteriales; Clostridiaceae
Description: tRNA-OTHER
Rfam family: tRNA
About the family: Transfer RNA (tRNA) molecules are approximately 80 nucleotides in length. Their secondary structure includes four short double-helical elements and three loops (D, anti-codon, and T loops).
Source: RNAcentral